UACGGAGGGGGCUAGCGUUGUUCGGAAUUACUGGGCGUAAAGGGCGCGUAGGCGGCCUGCUAAGUCGAACGUGAAAUCCCCGGGCUCAACCCGGGAACUGCGUCCGAUACUGGCAGGCUUGAAUCCGGGAGAGGGAUGCGGAAUUCCAGGUGUAGCGGUGAAAUGCGUAGAUAUCUGGAGGAACACCGGUGGCGAAGGCGGCAUCCUGGACCGACACUGACACUGAGGAGCGAAAGCCAGGGGAGCAAACGGG
Molecule: ribosomal RNA, 253 nt
Filed under: uncultured bacterium
Lineage: Bacteria
Description: partial 16S ribosomal RNA
Rfam family: Bacterial small subunit ribosomal RNA
Source: RNAcentral